Long non-coding RNA from Megachile rotundata (alfalfa leafcutting bee), 7919 nucleotides. The record is from RefSeq and is a predicted model, not a curated record. Lineage: Eukaryota; Metazoa; Arthropoda; Insecta; Hymenoptera; Megachilidae.
UAUGCAGUAUAGAAUCAUUCACAUCCUUAAACCCAACAAGUAAAAUGCAAAGCUGAAAAAAGUGAAUGGCAAAUGAGAACUGGAAGAAAAUAAGAUUUACAAGGGAUGACUCCGUGCACGCCCAUGAUACCCUGGUCGAAGGUGUUUCGUAUUACACGUGCCUGUAAGCCUGAAACACCCUGGACAACGUUGAAAACCCUUGGACAAACAGUUUCGGGGAAAUGCAGUGGAACGAUUGCUUCUUCAUAAUUUCAUGCUGUGUUCAUGUAAAAUUAGCAUAUUAAUAAGAAAGACGGCGACAGCGGUCAGGAUAGCAGGAUGAAAUCGCAGGAAGAUCUCCUCCUUCCAAGGAUCCUUCGUGGCUCUUCGACACAUCUGCGUUCCUAGUGGUCGAGUCUCCGCAUUUAGAACUCAAUGGAGCGAAUCUAAUUGCUGUUAUUACGAUGAUGACACGAUGCGUGAGCCUGUCACAUUGUAUGUCGAGGCUGUUACUGUUUUUUCGUACUUGCAUACGAUUGUGUUCUUUUCAUUCUUUGUGAUUGGAUGAAAUUAGAUGUGGGGAGAUUGGAUUAAGUUGGGGUUUUACCUUACCAGUUUUUAAUUUUGGGAAUUGUAUUUGAGGAGUAGGACUUCACUUUGGAAUUGACUUUGGGACUGUAGGACACUAGGGCUGUGGGACCUAGGACUGUAGGACACUAGGACCGUGGGUCACUAGGAUCAUAGGACAUUAGAAGUGUAGGACACUAGGACUGUAGGACACUAGAACCAUAGGACACCAGAACCAUAGGACACUAGGACCAUAGGACACUAGAAGUGUAGGACACUAGGACUGUAGGCCACUAGGACCUUGGGACACUAGGACCCUAGGACCUCAGAACUGUAGAACACUAGGACUGUAGGACACUAGAACUGUAGGACACUAAGACCUUAGGACACUAGGACCUUAGGACACUAGAACCUUAGGAGACUAGGACCUUAGGACACUAGGACCUUAGGACAUUAGGACCUUAGGACAUUAGGACCUUAGGACACUAGGACCUUAGGACACUAGGAUUAUAGGAUCUGCACUGUAGGGCCUAAGACUGUAGGACCUAAGACUGUAAGACCUGAGACUGUAGGACCCAAGACUGUAGAGCCUGAGACUAUAGGACCUGAGACUGUAGGUCCUAAGGCUGUAGCAUCUAGGAUUAUAGGACCUUGUACUCUAGGACUUCAAGCUUUUUGCAAUUUAGCAUUUUACAUUCAUACACUUUGGGUCUUUCAUACACUUCAUUUUUAAACUUCUAUACUCGGAACCUGGAACUGCAGCAUCUACAACUACAACACCUAGGACUAUAGGACCUUGUACUCUAGGACUUCAGGACCUGGGACUGUAGCACCUAGGACUAUGGGACCUUGUACUCUAGGACUUCAUGACUUUUGCAAUUUAUAAUUUUACACUCAUGGUCUUUGGGUUUUUCAUACAUUUCAUUUAUAAACUUCUAUACUCAGGACCUUGAAACUUCCACAUCUUCAUUAUCAUACAUAUUCUCAUCUUUCAACAGAAAUUAACCUCCAUAAAGAUCCAAACCAAUACAACAAAAUAGACACAUAAAUUAUAAAUACAUUGUUCAUGUCCUUAACUCUGAUCAUCUUAAUGUCUCCUUCAAAUCAAGCAAACUUUUGCAGGUAAUGCACUGGUGUUUCAUCAAAAAUACUCUUUGAAUGACAUAUUGUGCAACAGGCUAUACAAGAUAUUUCAGUUGAUCACAGAUGAGUAGAGCACAUAUUUGUAAACCAAAAGAAAAUAUAUGUUUAAACUGGAAGAGGUGACAUUUUGAGGGAAGUCAAAUGCGAACCUGUUUCCGGACCGCCUGCUCCAGGCCUGCCAUGGUCUCCUGUUAACAGGGAUAUCACUUUUCAUUUUUUUCAUAUCUCGUCGUGGACUUUUCGGUUGUGUAGGGUCAGUCAAUGACUUUCCUUGAGAAGAACAUUGAAAGAACCACGUGUCUUCAGACAUAAACCACACGUGCUGAUGUCACCUCAAAAAGUCAUCCACUCUGCCUAUAAUAACAAAUGACGUUUAAAGAAUAUUUAACAAACUCCACUUAAAAAAAGAAAAAGAAUUUAGGGUUAAGCCAUAAACAACUAUGACGACACCGGGCUGAAAACAUCCUGCCCGCAUAAUAACUCGCAUGCAUGAGCUCCUGGUCGGGGAUGUAUCGAGAACGAUUCGACUUUCUCCUCAAUUCUGAUAUCUCUAACCCGUGGUCUCGACAAGAUGUAACAACGUCGUGCUUGAAUGUCUUUUUUUAUGGCGCGACGUACGAAAAAAGGUUCUUGACAAAUAUUCAAUGAUCCUUGUGUACGAUGGUAAUUCGACGCGUGUACCAUCGGACGACGAAUUUAUAAACGGGAUACAGAUUUGUAAGUUACAUUAGCGAUUGCGGACGUAACCAGCUGUUAUAACUAGCAGGUCGUUUAAUGUUUCGAUUGGGAGAGACGGGAUAGGCAGAGACACGGGGGAAAGCCAGGAGGAGCGUGACAUGAACAGAAGCGCAUUUGGUGCCAUAUUACAUGCGCAGUGUAAACAACUCCGUUACAUCGGUGUAGCAGGGGAAUAAGGCAGGCGAAGAGGUCGCAGGGCGGGAAACGGUGCGGAGCAAGUGAGGUUAUGUUAGGUCAGUUUAUCAUUUCUAUGAGUUUGAUAAUAAGGAUAGAAUGAUAAGGUGGAAUCAAUUUAUCAUUUGUAAGAGUUUGAUAAAAAGGAAAGAAUGAUAAGGUAAUAAAAGAAUUUCUGGUACUAUGCAGAGUGACUACCACUUUUAAUAUUUAAGUUUGCAAAUCUUACUUUUAUUUUUUGCAAUAAUAUUGUGCAAUACAUACUUAUUUUUUCUUAGAAAUAUUAUCUGAUGUAUUUGUGUUUUAGGUGGAAUCAAUUUAUCAUUUGUAAGAAUUUGAUAAUAAGGAAAGAAUGGUAAGGUAAUAAAAGAAUUUCUGGUACUAUGCAGAGUGACUACCACUUUUAAUAUUUAAGUUUGCAAAUCUUACUUUUAUUUUUUGCAAUAAUGUACAAUCCAUAUUUAUUUUUUUCUUAUUAGUUAUUGAAGGUUAACUACUGAUGCUUAUGUUAAGAAAAAGCAUGUAUGUAGAUGCUUAUAAAAUUACACAGUUGCAUAUCAAAUAUUGCAUUCUUAUGUCUUGUGAUAUAUGUAUGUAAUUGUUCUUAAUACUGUGUCUAAGAAUUAUCACUGUAUCUAUAGGAUUUAGUUCAUUGUUAAAACAUUAAGUUAAUUUAAUAUUACUCUCAAAAAAAGUUUUGUGGCAGAAGUUGUUGACAUAAAUGAUUUGUAAAGUAAUUACAGAAGUAUUUGAUAUGAAUCUGAGGAAUCUUAAAUAUGGAAUAAUAUAUGACGGUAUUUCAGCAGAUGGAUAGAUUCAUAUCUCUCGUAUAUUAUAAAAUAGGGAAGUAGGAUGUCCAGGAGUUUCAGGUUAUGGUGCUUCAUAUUUUCAUGGAGCGGUCUCACCAUGGCAACACCCUAGCAGCCAUUUCAGAGCCUUAUGAUCAAAACAUCAUAUGAUAAAAGUUAGACACUUUGAUGUAUACACUUUUUAUUUAACAAUCAAGAUUUAUUGUAAAAAUUGACAUUGAUCAAAAUUAAUGUCAGUAAAAUAUGAUACAGUAUUCUUCGCUAUCAUACUUAAGUAAGAUUAAAAAUUUAUUAAGCAAAUACAAUCUCUUAAACAUUAUUUAUAAUUAUAUCAGAAUAGUACCAAUUCUGUAUUAUGCGAAAACCCUCAGAAAAUGCGCCAGAGGAUCAUAUACAUAUUCACCUUGCAACAGUUGCUGAAAUCCUAUUCAAAAUGCGUAGGUGUAUCUCGUUGAAGAAAAACCAUGAAGACAAACACAUAUUUCCUUGUGACAUACUCGUUACAUAAAAAUUUCAUAAAGAACUGAAGUUUUAAUACACCAUUGCUUGAAGUUGGGAAGAGCACCAUAAUCAAAGGGCCAAGUAAUCUGGAUUGGUCAUAGCCCCCGGCACUCGGCUAAAAACUCGUUUCGCCCACUCCCGCGAGACUACUCGGUUCGCAUGGUGGGGACUCCCUCGACCCUUGAUGGCCCUUUCGAGGGAUCAGACAACUCUCGCGGUGGAAUGUCGGCGGGGAAGAGAAGUUUCAAGGCCAUCGAGCUCCAUCCGUCUGCUGCGAUCCUGCUGAAAAUGCGUGGGCGCGGUCUCCCCGAGGGCUGGCCUCGGCCAACGAAGGUCGCACCCUUUUUCGACUGGCGUGUGCCUGGCCCUUUCGUCCAACCUCGUGCGACUAUCUGCCCCCUACCAGCUGUACCGUUGCUCCUCUUCGACCGUUGUCCUCCGACCUCUCCACCUUUCUUCGCUGGGAUCCUUCAGGAACGAUCUGUUCCUGGAUAGGGUCGCGCGCAUGCGCAUCGCACGAUCACGUGGCUGGCGGCUUGCCUGUCUGCCGCUCAAUUGGGUCAAUGCCGACACGCUGCAACUAUUUUAGCCGCUUCGGAUGAGUAACACGUGCGCUGUCGCGGUAAACUGAUACUUUCUGUGCGGACGAAAGUAAUUGAUAUACCAAACACUGGUGAAAUGUCACUGAAUAGCGUAGUUGGGUUAAGUCCUUUACUACAGCUGCAGCAUUUAGAACUGGGACUUUUUGAGAUAAGAAAUGGGCUGGAUAGAAAUUUUUGAAACAUGAAAACUAGACGAGAAAUAUCUUUAUUUAGUAGAACAUUAAUGUACAUUAUAAGCAUAAACAAAUGUGAUCCAUCUUGGAAUUUAUACUAACACUACCAUGUAAAUAAAUAAGCAUAGAGGCAACAGGAACAGUGUGGAAGAUAUUACUGUACAGUGAAACUCUUUUCACUGCAAGUCCACAAGUCCCACACUUCAUAACAAAACAAUAGAAUCGUCACAAAUGAUAUUUCUAACAUUUAUACAUAAAAGUCAGGGGUCAAAUAAAAUUUGAUGACCAAACUUUGUACACAGGUUGCACUUUGAUGACCACUGACUUAGGAAAUAUUCCUAAUUAUAUUUCGUACUCUCGUGGCAUUCGUACAAAUAUCAGUCGAACACAUGUUCGACCCUCACGCAUGCUCCCGUACCCUGCCUACCCUAUCAAUGCAAAGAGGGGUAGCUCGAAAAGGAACACCGUCGCGCAAUCUGCCAUGCGCGAUUCAUUAUAAGGUUCUCCUCCUCUCGGGGGUUCGAACCCCGUGUUUACGCAUGCCAGGGUGUCGAUUUGCCAGCCUACCGAGGCCCGCCUGUAGGGUUGAUUCGAAAUUCUCUAUGUAGCCAAUAAUCUGAGUGACUGGGGGAGUCUGAUGGCAUGUGCAAUGCUAACUUGACAUAUAUUUUGUGGUUAAACAUGUAUAGGGACAAAUAUGUCUGGGGGUUCUGUUAUGAGCUGAGGAGCUACUGUUGUGAGAUGAGAAGCUGAUGAGCUAUUGUAUUAGAUUAUAAGCUGCUGUUGUGAGCUGAGACUCUACUGUGAUGAGAUGAGAAGCUGAUGAGCUACUGUGUCACAUCAGAAGCUAGUGUUGUGAGAUGAGAAGCUUAUGAGCUACUGUAGCACAUUAUAAGAUAGUGUUGUGAGAUAAGAAGCUUAUGAGCUACUGUAGCACAUUAUAAGCUAGUGUUGUGAGCUGAGAAGCUGAUGAGCUACUGUGUCACAUCAUAAACUACUGUGUCACAUCAGAAGCUACUGUAUCACAUCAUAAUCCACUGCAGCACAUCAUAAGUCACUGUAUCACAUCAUAAGCCACUACAUCACAUCAGAAGCUACUGUAUCACAUCAUAGGCCACUGCAGCACAUCAUAAGUCACCUUAUCACAUCAUAAGGCACUGCAUCACAUCAUAAGCCACUGUAUCACAUCAUAAACCACUAUAUCACAUCCAUAAGCUACUGUAUGACUUCAUAAGCCACUGCAUCACACUAUAAACCACUGCAUCACAUCAUAAACCACUAUAUCACAUCCAUAAACCACUGUAUCACAUCAUAAGCCACUGUACCACAUCAUAAGCAACUGCAUCACAUCAUAAGCUACCAUUGCACCUACAUACAUAAUAACAACGAAUAUGCUAUCACAUUCAGAUACUUAUGCACAAGUGACAUAAAUGUUAAGUGGAUGGAGCAAGUUCCAUACGCAGCUGGGGAGGCAUCACUUGGGACGGCACAGUGACGAGGGGGUACUCCCUUCGCGCCGCCUUUGACUGGGCGGUGGCUGAAGCUCUCUCUUCAACAUAUACCAUACCGCAGGCAAAUGCCGUCAAACAUCUCCCUGUGGAAAGAUAUGCCCCGUCACAAUGGACUCUAUGGAGCGGGCUGUGAUCAAAAGACCUCUGUUGGACCACCAUGAAUUGCCGCUUUGCUCCUUGACUGUGUGUGGGAUCAAUACUGAAGCAAAACAUGAAAUAUGAUGUGGGACUGUGGUAGGAUCCCUAGAACUACUAUUUAGUUGGUAGGGGAUGAGACAUAGAGUGAAUGUGUAAGAAAUUAUUUAUUCUGAAUACCAUUACAUUGAAACUCUGGCCUUAAAUACAGACACUUCAUCUCACAGACUUCAGAUUCAUAUUUCUUCUAAGCUCCAACUUUCUCCCAAACAAGAAAUAUUAAGUGUUGCAAUGUAGAGAAGGUAUACGUUCAUUUGUAAAGCGUGAAACGAAAGUAGGAAGAGUAUAAAGCAUUCGAUUAUAGCACAGCAAGGUGCCCGUAUCCCCAAGGCCAAGUUCAUCGAAUUCUUGCAAGUUCCUGUGUUCCUGUUCGAAGAGCGGGGGCGGCUCCCGCGGAGGGCAGGCCGUCAAACUCGCGGGGCGGAACCACGACAUGAAGAGGCGGUGCGGAAUCGCGACCUCGCGCUGAAGAGCGUCGGGAUACAAAUUGAAACGAUCGUUGGCCCCGGGGAUCGGAUUCCAAACCGCCGUGCCUUGUUUUCGCGGUCGGAGAUACCCUCGUGGAACAGGUUCAGCAUCCGCCUAGAGGACACCCGUUGAUGGGAAGGUUGCUUCAGGACGGAAACGCCCAGACGUUUGCUCCUUCGGUGCUGAUGUAAUACGCCCAGAUGUGUACUGGGUGCACCACCCAUCGUGGUACAAUUUCAUGGGGUUGAAGUCACGGGUAAAAAUUUGUGGAACACUAGUUAAGUUCAACACUGAUACACUUUAACACUUUUAAGGUCGUUCACGAGCAAACUUUGACUGUAGAUCAUCUUCGGAAUAAAAUUUGUUUAUUUCAGAACAAACUAUGUUUUUAUUCUGAAAAUGAUCCUCUUUGAUGAGAUAUUUUUUCAAGUACACAGUUUCGUGUAUUUUAUUUUUGACUAUUCUUGGUCAUUCUUAAUUGCUUAAUUCUUUCAUACUGUUCCUUUUGACCGAGUUAAAGAUGUUAGGUUAACACGUUAAUUCCUAUUUGCUGAACUGAAAGUAUUUUCUAUUUGGCGAACUUAAAUUUUAAGGGAGAUAUCCAUGAAUUCUUAUAAAGACAUUAAAUUGAACACGGUGUUAACAUAAAAGAAACGUUCGUCAGUUAAAAGAUGAUAGAACGUGAUUAGAAAGUUUAACCGUGUAUUUCCUUUCGUGCCAUGAAACUUCAAUUACUUCCUCAAUCUUCGCUUAACACUGAACCUCUCAUUUCCUCCAUUUAUGUAACGAUCUCUUCAAAUCGUACUCUCUAAAUCACAGGCUCCCCCUCCUUUCGCAUAAUCCCAUUAUCGGUAAACUCAAGGUUUACAGCAUCCACACGUUAAGUGCAUACUUUCUCUACCGAUACGUUUAAAAACGUUUCGAUACUUUGUAAAAAUUCAUAACUUUUAUUUUGCACGCGUAUCUAUUACACCGAUUGAGGUUAUAAUAGGUCACGUGUUCUCUAAACACAAAUGGCGAAAUUAUGGCGGGAAAAUUUGAGUAUUAGAGUUUCAAACA